Molecule: ribosomal RNA, 826 nt
Filed under: uncultured bacterium
Lineage: Bacteria
Description: bacterial SSU rRNA
Rfam family: Bacterial small subunit ribosomal RNA
Source: RNAcentral
AGAGUUUGAUCAUGGCUCAGAACGAACGCUGGCGGCGCGUCUUAAGCAUGCAAGUCGAACGGCAAGGCAGGUGCUUGCACCUGCCCUAGAGUGGCGGACUGGUGAGUAACACGUGGGUGACAUGCCUUUUAGUUGGGGAUAGCUACUAGAAAUAGUAGAUAAUACCGAAUGUGAUCAAUAUUUAUAGAUGAUGUUGAGGAAAGGAGCUAAGGCUUCGCUAAAAGAUUGGCCCGCGGCCCAUUAGCUAGUUGGUAGGGUAAAGGCUUACCAAGGCGAUGAUGGGUAUCCGGCCUGAGAGGGUGAUCGGACACAUUGGGACUGAGAUACGGCCCAGACUCCUACGGGAGGCAGCAGCUAAGAAUAUUCCACAAUGGACGAAAGUCUGAUGGAGCGACGCCGCGUGGAUGAUGAAGGCCGAAAGGUUGUAAAAUCCUUUUACACUGGAGGAAUAAGCAGAGUAGGGAAUGACUCUGUGAUGACUGUACAGUUUGAAUAAGCAACGGCUAAUUACGUGCCAGCAGCCGCGGUAACACGUAAGUUGCGAGCGUUGUUCGGAAUUAUUGGGCGUAAAGGGCAUGUAGGCGGAUUUGCAAGCUUGAUGUGAAAUCCCGCAGCUUAACUGCGGAACUGCAUUGGGAACUGCAAGACUAGAGUUACUGAGGGGAAACUAGAAUUCCAAGUGUAGGGGUGAAAUCUGUAGAUAUUUGGAAGAAUACCAAUGGCGAAGGCAAGUUUCUGGCAGACAACUGACGCUGAGGUGCGAAGGUGCGGGGAGCAAACAGGAUUAGAUACCCUGGUAGUCCGCACAGUAAACGAUGUACACUAG